Molecule: ribosomal RNA, 253 nt
Filed under: uncultured bacterium
Lineage: Bacteria
Description: partial 16S ribosomal RNA
Rfam family: Bacterial small subunit ribosomal RNA
Source: RNAcentral
UCCGGAGGGGGCUAUCGUUGUUCGGAAUUACUGGGCGUAAAGCGCGUGUAGGCGGGUCCUUAAGUCGGGGGUGAAAGGCCGGGGCUCAACCUCGGAACUGCCUUCGAUACUGAGGACCUGGAGUCUGGGAGAGGUGAGCGGAAUUCCGAGUGUAGAGGUGAAAUUCGUAGAUAUUCGGAGGAACACCAGAGGCGAAGGCGGCUCACUGGACCAGUACUGACGCUGAGACGCGAAAGCGUGGGGAGAAAACAGG